This is a non-coding RNA of Malassezia vespertilionis, 105 nucleotides long. Lineage: Eukaryota; Fungi; Basidiomycota; Malasseziomycetes; Malasseziales; Malasseziaceae. The record is from the annotation of a RefSeq genome assembly.
GUCUCGUUGGUGUAGUUGGUUAUCACGUCGGUCUCAUAUAAAAAUGAUCGCGUCUGACGCGAAUGUGACAUCUGGAGGUCGCCAGUUCGAUCCUGGCACGGGACA